RNAcentral lists this ribosomal RNA (253 nucleotides) under uncultured bacterium. RNAcentral's name for it is "partial 16S ribosomal RNA". It matches the Rfam family "Bacterial small subunit ribosomal RNA", at positions 524 to 776 of the family's 1533-position model. The record is from RNAcentral.
UACAGAGGUGGCAAGCGUUGUUCGGAAUUACUGGGCGUAAAGGGCGCGUAGGCGGUCCGAUAAGUCCCGUGUGAAAGCCCCGGGCUCAACCUGGGAACUGCAUCCGAAACUGCCUUGCUCGAGUAUGGGAGAGGGAAGUGGAAUUUCCGGUGUAGCGGUGAAAUGCGUAGAUAUCGGAAGGAACAUCAGUGGCGAAGGCGACUUCCUGGACCAAUACUGACGCUCAGGUGCGAAAGCGUGGGGAGCAAACAGG